AUACGGAGGGGGCUAGCGUUGUUCGGAAUUACUGGGCGUAAAGCGCGUGUAGGCGGAUCGUUAAGUCAGGGGUGAAAGCCCGGGGCUCAACCCCGGAACUGCCCUUGAUACUGGCGAUCUAGAGUCCGGAAGAGGUGGGCGGAAUUCCCGGUGUAGAGGUGAAAUUCGUAGAUAUCGGGAGGAACACCAGUGGCGAAGGCGGCUCACUGGUCCGGUACUGACGCUGAGACGCGAAAGCGUGGGGAGCAAACAGGAUUAGAAACCCCAGUAGUCC
RNAcentral lists this ribosomal RNA (274 nucleotides) under uncultured bacterium. Its description in RNAcentral is "partial 16S ribosomal RNA". It matches the Rfam family "Bacterial small subunit ribosomal RNA", at positions 523 to 796 of the family's 1533-position model. The record is from RNAcentral.